AGGAGGAACAACAACAGUGGCUGCGGCCAGCUUUGGAGCCCUGGAUUCAGCUCCCACAGUAAUUAAGGAGCUCUCAGUCCGCAGGGGCCUGGAUGCCCCGGGGGCGG
This 107-nucleotide microRNA precursor is filed under the name Canis lupus familiaris (dog). RNAcentral describes it as "mir-8834 microRNA precursor family". It matches the Rfam family "mir-8834 microRNA precursor family". RNAcentral also lists the same sequence under 1 other name. Lineage: Eukaryota; Metazoa; Chordata; Mammalia; Carnivora; Canidae. The record is from Rfam by way of RNAcentral.